AGAGAGCUAGUCCAAGCUAAGACUUCUGAUUUCGGCUCAGGUAAUUCUGGUUAAAUUCCAGAGCCCUCUU
This 70-nucleotide transfer RNA is filed under the name Spratelloides gracilis (silver-stripe round herring). RNAcentral describes it as "tRNA-Arg". It matches the Rfam family "tRNA". Rfam says of the family: Transfer RNA (tRNA) molecules are approximately 80 nucleotides in length. Their secondary structure includes four short double-helical elements and three loops (D, anti-codon, and T loops). The record is from RNAcentral. Lineage: Eukaryota; Metazoa; Chordata; Actinopteri; Clupeiformes; Clupeidae.